UACGUAGGUGGCGAGCGUUGUCCGGAUUUACUGGGCGUAAAGGGAGCGUAGGCGGAUUUUUAAGCGAGAUGUGAAAUACUCGGGCUCAACUUGAGUGCCGCAUUUCAAACUGGAAGUCUAGAGUGCAGGAGAGGAGAAUGGAAUUCCUAGUGUAGCGGUGAAAUGCGUAGAGAUUAGGAAGAACACCAGUGGCGAAGGCGAUUCUCUGGACUGUAACUGACGCUGAGGCUCGAAAGCGUGGGGAGCAAACAGG
RNAcentral lists this ribosomal RNA (253 nucleotides) under uncultured bacterium. RNAcentral describes it as "partial 16S ribosomal RNA". It matches the Rfam family "Bacterial small subunit ribosomal RNA", at positions 524 to 776 of the family's 1533-position model. The record is from RNAcentral.